UACGGAGGGGACUAGCGUUGUUCGGAAUUACUGGGCGUAAAGCGCACGUAGGCGGAUUUGUAAGUCAGGGGUGAAAUCCCGGGGCUCAACCCCGGAACUGCACUUGAUACUGCGGUGCUCGAGUACUGGAGAGGAGAUUGGAAUUUACGGUGUAGCAGUGAAAUGCGUAGAUAUCGUAAGGAAGACCAGUGGCGAAGGCGAAUCUCUGGACAGUUACUGACACUGAGGCACGAAGGCCAGGGGAGCAAACGGG
RNAcentral lists this ribosomal RNA (253 nucleotides) under uncultured bacterium. RNAcentral's name for it is "partial 16S ribosomal RNA". It matches the Rfam family "Bacterial small subunit ribosomal RNA", at positions 524 to 776 of the family's 1533-position model. The record is from RNAcentral.